GAUGAACGCUGGCGGCGUGCUUAACACAUGCAAGUCGAACGGAAAGGCCCAAGCUUGCUUGGGUACUCGAAUGGCGAACGGGUGAGUAACACGUGGGUGAUCUGCCCUGCACUUCGGGAUAAGCCUGGGAAACUGGGUCUAAUACCGGAUAGGACCACAUUUUGGAUGGUGUGGUGGAAAGUUUUUCGGUGUGGGGUGAGCUCGCGGCCUAUCAGCUUGUUGGUGGGGUAAUGGCCUACCAAGGCGUCGACGGGUAGCCGGCCUGAGAGGGUGUACGGCCGCAUUGAGGCUGAGAUGCGGCCCAGACUCCUACGGGAGGCAGAAGUGGGGAAUAUUGCACGAGGGGCGCAAGCCUGAUGCAGCGAGGCCGCGGGGGGGAUGACGGGCUUCGGGUUGUAAAAUCCUUUCGCUAGGGACGAAGCGUUAUGUGACGGUACCUGGAGAAGAAGCACCGGCUAACUACGUG
This 466-nucleotide ribosomal RNA is filed under the name uncultured bacterium. Its description in RNAcentral is "partial 16S ribosomal RNA". It matches the Rfam family "Bacterial small subunit ribosomal RNA", at positions 28 to 507 of the family's 1533-position model. The record is from RNAcentral.